CGGGUGCACUGAUCCGGCCGGGCCUUUCCCUCUGUGGAACCCCAUGGCCUUCACUGGCUGUGCGGGGGAAACAGGACUUUUACUGUGAAAAAAUUAGAGUGCUCCAGGCAGGCCUAUGCUCGAAUACAUUAGCAUGGAAUAAUAGAAUAGGACGCGUGGUUCUAUUUUGUUGGUUUCUAGGACCGCCGUAAUGAUUAAUAGGGACAGUCGGGGGCAUCAGUAUUCAAUUGUCAGAGGUGAAAUUCUUGGAUCUAUUGAAGACUAACUACUGCGAAAGCAUUUGCCAAGGAUGUUUUCAUUGAUAAGGAACGAAAGUUAGGGGAUCGAAGACGAUCAGAUACCGUCGUAGUCUUAACUAUAAACUAUGCCGACUAGGGAUCGGACGAUGUUAUUUCUUGACGCGUUCGGCACCUUUCGAGAAAUCAAAGUGCUUGGGCUCCAGGGGGAGUAUGGUCGCAAGGCUGAAACUUAAAGAAAUUGACGGAAGGGCACCACCAGGGGUGGAACCUGCGGCUUAAUUUGACUCAACACGGGGAAACUCACCAGGUCCAGACACAGUGAGGAUUGACAGAUUGAGAGCUCUUUCUUGAUUUCUGUGGGUGGUGGUGCAUGGCCGUUCUUAGUUGGUGGAGUGAUUUGUCUGCUUAAUUGCGAUAACGAACGAGACCUUAACCUGCUAAAUAGCCCGUACUGCUCUGGCAGUUCGCCGGCUUCUUAGAGGGACUAUCGG
Molecule: ribosomal RNA, 730 nt
Filed under: uncultured eukaryote
Lineage: Eukaryota
Description: SSU rRNA
Rfam family: Eukaryotic small subunit ribosomal RNA
Source: RNAcentral